CUACGGGACGCUCCAGUCGAGAAUCUUCCGCAAUGGACGAAAGUCUGACGGAGCGACGCCGCGUGCGGGAUGAAGGCCUUCGGGUUGUAAACCGCUGUCAGUGGGGAGGAAAUGCAUCAGGGUUCUCCCUGGUGUUUGACCGAUCCGCAGAGGAAGCGCAGGCUAAGUUCGUGCCAGCAGCCGCGGUAACACGAACUGCGCGAACGUUAUUCGGAAUCACUGGGCUUAAAGAGUUCGUAGGCGGCCUUUCAAGUCGGGUGUGAAAUCCCUCGGCUCAACCGAGGAAUUGCGCCUGAUACUGUUGGGCUUGAGGGGGAUAGGGGUGAGCGGAACUGAUGGUGGAGCGGUGAAAUGCGUUGAUAUCAUCAGGAACACCGGUGGCGAAGGCGGCUCACUGGAUCUCUUCUGACGCUGAGGAACGAAAGCUAGGGGAGCGAACGGGAUUAGAUACCCUGGUAGUC
RNAcentral lists this ribosomal RNA (461 nucleotides) under uncultured bacterium. RNAcentral's name for it is "partial 16S ribosomal RNA". It matches the Rfam family "Bacterial small subunit ribosomal RNA", at positions 339 to 795 of the family's 1533-position model. The record is from RNAcentral.